RNAcentral lists this ribosomal RNA (429 nucleotides) under Bacteroidota bacterium. RNAcentral describes it as "Bacteroidetes bacterium partial 16S ribosomal RNA". It matches the Rfam family "Bacterial small subunit ribosomal RNA", at positions 355 to 776 of the family's 1533-position model. The record is from RNAcentral. Lineage: Bacteria; Pseudomonadati; Bacteroidota.
UAGGGAAUCUUCCGCAAUGGACGCAAGUCUGACGGAGCAACGCCGCGUGAGUGAAGAAGGAUUUCGGUUCGUAAAACUCUGUUGUUAGAGAAGAACAGCGCAUAGAGUAACUGUUAUGCGUGUGACGGUAUCUAACCAGAAAGCAACGGCUAACUACGUGCCAGCAGCCGCGGUAAUACGUAGGUGGCAAGCGUUGUCCGGAUUUAUUGGGCGUAAAGCGAGCGCAGGCGGUCAAUUAAGUCUGAUGUGAAAGCCCCCGGCUCAACCGGGGAGGGUCAUUGGAAACUGGUUGACUUGAGUGCAGAAGAGGAGAGUGGAAUUCCAUGUGUAGCGGUGAAAUGCGUAGAUAUAUGGAGGAACACCAGUGGCGAAGGCGACUCUCUGGUCUGUAACUGACGCUGAGGCUCGAAAGCGUGGGUAGCAAACAGG